GCCUUGCAAGAUGAUAACGUGAUCGUGUAUCUCCUCGCUAGUCUUGGCCCUGACUGUGAUCCAUUCGUCACCUUGAUGACUACCAAGAGUGAAGCCCUCACGUUUGAUGAUGUGUUUGCGCAUCUAAUGGCUUUUGAAG
Small nucleolar RNA from Cucurbita moschata (crookneck pumpkin), 139 nucleotides. RefSeq annotates it as small nucleolar RNA Z247. NCBI's taxonomy places the organism in Eukaryota, Viridiplantae, Streptophyta, Magnoliopsida, Cucurbitales, Cucurbitaceae. The transcript has a single exon. The record is from RefSeq and is a predicted model, not a curated record.